Molecule: unclassified non-coding RNA, 314 nt
Filed under: Bombus terrestris (buff-tailed bumblebee)
Lineage: Eukaryota; Metazoa; Arthropoda; Insecta; Hymenoptera; Apidae
Description: misc RNA ENSBTSG00005019645.1
Source: RNAcentral
CUGAUGCAUUUUAUCCCUAUAGAGGUUAUUUAUCUUAAAUUGUCAAUUACUAUUCAGAUUUUGAUUAAGUACAUUAAUAAUGAAUGAAUAUAGUUUUCAAAAAAGUAGUAUUAGUACGUACCAUUUUGUUAAAGUUACAAGAUCCAACAAAAUCUGCUUAAGUACGACAUUAGAUUCAACUAGAAUCAAACAUACUAUAAACCCUUAUAAUCCAUAUAAUUCAAGUUACAGUACCACGCCAAAAUAAUUUAUUUAUAAUUCCAAUGAGAAUUGAUUGUAAAUAGUCUACCAAAUAAAAAAAAAAAAUUAUACAG